AAAAAAGGUAAGCUACUAAGAGCGAAUGGUGGAUGCCUUGACUGGUAAAGGCGAUGAAGGACGUACUAGACUGCGAUAAGCUACGGGGAGCUGUCAAGAAGCUUUGAUCCGUAGAUUUCCGAAUGGGGCAACCCAAUGUAUAGAGAUAUACAUUACCUAUAUAGGAGCGAACGAGGGGAAUUGAAACAUCUUAGUACCCUCAGGAAAAGAAAUCAAUAGAGAUUGCGUCAGUAGCGGCGAGCGAAAGCGCAAGAGGGCAAACCCAGUGCUUGCACUGGGGGUUGUAGGACUGCAAUGUGCAAGAGGUGAGUUUAGCAGAACAUUCUGGAAAGUAUAGCCAUAGAGGGUGAUAGUCCCGUAUGCGAAAAACAAACCUUAGCUAGCAGUAUCCUGAGUAGGGCGGGACACGAGGAAUCCUGUCUGAAUCCGGGUCGACCACGAUCCAACCCUAAAUACUAAUACCAGAUCGAUAGUGCACAAGUACCGUGAGGGAAAGGUGAAAAGAACUGAGGUGAUCAGAGUGAAAUAGAACCUGAAACCAUUUGCUUACAAUCAUUCAGAGCCCUAUGUAGCAAUACAGGGUGAUGGACUGCCUUUUGCAUAAUGAGCCUGCGAGUUGUGGUGUCUGGCAAGGUUAAGCAAACGUGAAGCCGUAGCGAAAGCGAGUCUGAAUAGGGCGCUUAGUCAGAUGCUGCAGACCCGAAACGAAGUGAUCUAUCCAUGAGCAAGUUGAAGCUAGUGUAAGAACUAGUGGAGGACUGAACCCAUAGGCGUUGAAAAGCCCCGGGAUGACUUGUGGAUAGGGGUGAAAGGCCAAUCAAACUUCGUGAUAGCUGGUUCUCUCCGAAAUAUAUUUAGGUAUAGCGUUGUGUCGUAAUAUAAGGGGGUAGAGCACUGAAUGGGCUAGGGCAUACACCAAUGUACCAAACCCUAUCAAACUCCGAAUACCUUAUAUGUAAUCACAGCAGUCAGGCGGCGAGUGAUAAAAUCCGUCGUCAAGAGGGAAACAACCCAGACUACCAGCUAAGGUCCCUAAAUCUUACUUAAGUGGAAAACGAUGUGAAGUUACUUAAACAACCAGGAGGUUGGCUUAGAAGCAGCCAUCCUUUAAAGAAAGCGUAAUAGCUCACUGGUCUAGUGAUUUUGCGCGGAAAAUAUAACGGGGCUAAAGUAAGUACCGAAGCUGUAGACUUGAUUUUAUCAAGUGGUAGGAGAGCGUUCUAUUUGCGUCGAAGGUAUACCGGUAAGGAGUGCUGGAGCGAAUAGAAGUGAGCAUGCAGGCAUGAGUAGCGAUAAUUAAUGUGAGAAUCAUUAACGCCGUAAACCCAAGGUUUCCUACGCGAUGCUCGUCAUCGUAGGGUUAGUCGGGUCCUAAGUCGAGUCCGAAAGGGGUAGACGAUGGCAAAUUGGUUAAUAUUCCAAUACCAACAUUAGUGUGCGAUGGAAGGACGCUUAGGGCUAAGGGGGCUAGCGGAUGGAAGUGCUAGUCUAAGGUCGUAGGAGGUUAUACAGGCAAAUCCGUAUAACAAUACUCCGAGAACUGAAAGGCUUUUUGAAGUCUUCGGAUGGAUAGAAGAACCCCUGAUGCCGUCGAGCCAAGAAAAGUUUCUAAGUUUAGCUAAUGUUGCCCGUACCGUAAACCGACACAGGUGGGUGGGAUGAGUAUUCUAAGGCGCGUGGAAGAACUCUCUUUAAGGAACUCUGCAAAAUAGCACCGUAUCUUCGGUAUAAGGUGUGGUUCGCUUCGUAUUAGGAUUUACUCCGAAAGCGAAGAAACUUACAACAAAGAGUCCCUCCCGACUGUUUACCAAAAACACAGCACUCUGCUAACUCGUAAGAGGAUGUAUAGGGUGUGACGCCUGCCCGGUGCUCGAAGGUUAAUUGAUGGGGUUAGCAUUAGCGAAGCUCUUGAUCGAAGCCCGAGUAAACGGCGGCCGUAACUAUAACGGUCCUAAGGUAGCGAAAUUCCUUGUCGGUUAAAUACCGACCUGCAUGAAUGGCGUAACGAGAUGGGAGCUGUCUCAAAGAGGGAUCCAGUGAAAUUGUAGUGGAGGUGAAAAUUCCUCCUACCCGCGGCAAGACGGAGAGACCCCGUGGACCUUUACUACAGCUUGACACUGCUAUUUGGAUAAGAAUGUGCAGGAUAGGUGGGAGGCUUUGAGUAUAUGACGCCAGUUGUAUAUGAGCCAUUGUUGAGAUACCACUCUUUCUUAUUUGGGUAGCUAACCAGCUUGAGUUAUCCUCAAGUGGGACAAUGUCUGGUGGGUAGUUUGACUGGGGCGGUCGCCUCCCAAAUAAUAACGGAGGCUUACAAAGGUUGGCUCAGAACGGUUGGAAAUCGUUCGUAGAGUAUAAAGGUAUAAGCCAGCUUAACUGCAAGACAUACAAGUCAAGCAGAGACGAAAGUCGGUCUUAGUGAUCCGGUGGUUCUGUGUGGAAGGGCCAUCGCUCAAAGGAUAAAAGGUACCCCGGGGAUAACAGGCUGAUCUCCCCCAAGAGCUCACAUCGACGGGGAGGUUUGGCACCUCGAUGUCGGCUCAUCGCAUCCUGGGGCUGGAGCAGGUCCCAAGGGUAUGGCUGUUCGCCAUUUAAAGCGGUACGCGAGCUGGGUUCAGAACGUCGUGAGACAGUUCGGUCCCUAUCUGCCGUGGGCGUAAGAAGAUUGAAGAGAUUUGACCCUAGUACGAGAGGACCGGGUUGAACAAACCACUGGUGUAGCUGUUGUUCUGCCAAGAGCAUCGCAGCGUAGCUAAGUUUGGAAAGGAUAAACGCUGAAAGCAUCUAAGCGUGAAGCCAACUCUAAGAUGAAUCUUCUCUAAGCUCUCUAGAAGACUACUAGUUUGAUAGGCUGGGUGUGUAAUGGAUGAAAGUCCUUUAGCUGACCAGUACUAAUAGAGCGUUUGGCUUAUCUUUAAUAAAGCAU
RNAcentral lists this ribosomal RNA (2923 nucleotides) under Campylobacter coli. Its description in RNAcentral is "23S ribosomal RNA". It matches the Rfam family "Bacterial large subunit ribosomal RNA". The record is from RNAcentral. Lineage: Bacteria; Pseudomonadati; Campylobacterota; Epsilonproteobacteria; Campylobacterales; Campylobacteraceae.